Daphnia carinata is the source of this 520-nucleotide long non-coding RNA. RefSeq lists it as uncharacterized. NCBI's taxonomy places the organism in Eukaryota, Metazoa, Arthropoda, Branchiopoda, Diplostraca, Daphniidae. The transcript has 3 exons. The record is from RefSeq and is a predicted model, not a curated record.
UUAUCUUUGGUAAAACAAUGUGUUAAUUCACCGUAAAAACUUGAUGUUUUCUUUUAUAAUGCUCCAAAGUCAACGAGCCAAAAUACAUCUGUCAUAGUUGCGUGCAGGACAACAGCUGAAUUAUCAAACGCUGAACAUCUGUGAAUCCAGCACGCAUCUGAGCCUAAUAAACCCAUAUUUAACAGAUGCAAAUGAAAACGAAAUCAGGUGCCAUUAUACCUGUGCGUACGUUAAUGUUUGACGUUUGAACUCGGGAGGAUCGUUUUCCCCUACCACCAAUAGCUGUUUUAUGUUACGAACUCUUUCCAUCGAUUGGCUAAAACAUCGCAGAGGACUAAGGCUCUUCGCUGCGUCCCUUUAUGGAUACACUUAUUGCGGUACUAAAGGGGAACCACAUCAAAUACUCCACUAAUAUGCACCAUACCAUGCAGAAAGUUCAAAUUGGGUUCUUUAUUUUGCCAUUCACUAUCAUGGAGUAACAUUGCUGCCAAAUGGGAACCAGCUGAAUGUCCAGCAAUCA